GAUGAACGCUGGCGGCGUGCCUAAUGCAUGCGAGUCGAGCGAACGGACGAGAAGCUUGCUUCUCUGAUGUUAGCGGCGGACGGGUGAGUAACACGUGGAUAACCUACCUAUAAGACUGGGAUAACUUCGGGAAACCGUAGCUAAUACCGGAUAAUAUUUUGAACCGCAUGGUUCAAAAGUGAAAGACGGUCUUGCUGUCACUUAUAGAUGGAUCCGCGCUGCAUUAGCUAGUUGGUAAGGUAACGGCUUACCAAGGCAACGAUGCAUAGCCGACCUGAGAGGGUGAUCGGCCACACUGGAACUGAGACACGGUCCAGACUCCUACGGGAGGCAGCAGUAGGGAAUCUUCCGCAAUGGGCGAAAGCCUGACGGAGCAACGCCGCGUGAGUGAUGAAGGUCUUCGGAUCGUAAAACUCUGUUAUUAGGGAAGAACAUAUGUGUAAGUAACUGUGCACAUCUUGACGGUACCUAAUCAGAAAGCCACGGCUAACUACGUG
This 497-nucleotide ribosomal RNA is filed under the name uncultured bacterium. Its description in RNAcentral is "partial 16S ribosomal RNA". It matches the Rfam family "Bacterial small subunit ribosomal RNA", at positions 28 to 507 of the family's 1533-position model. The record is from RNAcentral.